UAUGGUGGUUACACCGUGAGGGUUCACCUCUUCCCAUACCGAACAGAGAAGUUAAGCCUCACAGGGCCGAUGGUACUACACAACAAUGUGGGAGAGUAGGUCGCUGCCAUAA
RNAcentral lists this ribosomal RNA (112 nucleotides) under Chitinophagaceae bacterium. The record is from RNAcentral. RNAcentral also lists the same sequence under 1 other name. Lineage: Bacteria; Pseudomonadati; Bacteroidota; Chitinophagia; Chitinophagales; Chitinophagaceae.